CGUAAUAGCUCACUGGUCGAGUCGGCCUGCGCGGAAGAUGUAACGGGGCUAAACCAUGCACCGAAGCUGCGGCAGCGAACGUAUCACUUAAAGCGAUUCAGCGGGUUACGAUUGACGGAGCGAAGCGACGUCAAAGCGUAUACAAAGUCGAGUCGGUUUAAGGAUACGUUCGUUGGGUAGGGGAGCGUUCUGUAAGCCUGUGAAGGUGGCCUGUGAGGGUUGCUGGAGGUAUCAGAAGUGCGAAUGCUGACAUAAGUAACGAUAAAGCGGGUGAAAAGCCCGCUCGCCGGAAGACCAAGGGUUCCUGUCCAACGUUAAUCGGGGCAGGGUGAGUCGACCCCUAAGGCGAGGCCGAAAGGCGUAGUCGAUGGGAAACGGGUUAAUAUUCCCGUACUUGGUGUUACUGCGAAGGGGGGACGGAGAAGGCUAUGUUGGCCGGGCGACGGUUGUCCCGGUUUAAGCGUGUAGGUGUGUGUUCCAGGUAAAUCCGGUUCACUUUAACACUGAGGCGUGACGACGAGGCACUACGGUGCUGAAGCAACAAAUGCCCUGCUUCCAGGAAAAGCCUCUAAGCAUCAGGUAACAUCAAAUCGUACCCCAAACCGACACAGGUGGUCAGGUAGAGAAUACCAAGGCGCUUGAGAGAACUCGGGUGAAGGAACUAGGCAAAAUGGUGCCGUAACUUCGGGAGAAGGCACGCUGACACGUAGGUGAAGUGAUUUACUCAUGGAGCUGAAGUCAGUCGAAGAUACCAGCUGGCUGCAACUGUUUAUUAAAAACACAGCACUGUGCAAACACGAAAGUGGACGUAUACGGUGUGACGCCUGCCCGGUGCCGGAAGGUUAAUUGAUGGGGUCAGCGCAAGCGAAGCUCCUGAUCGAAGCCCCGGUAAACGGCGGCCGUAACUAUAACGGUCCUAAGGUAGCGAAAUUCCUUGUCGGGUAAGUUCCGACCUGCACGAAUGGCGUAAUGAUGGCCAGGCUGUCUCCACCCGAGACUCAGUGAAAUUGAACUCGCUGUGAAGAUGCAGUGUACCCGCGGCAAGACGGAAAGACCCCGUGAACCUUUACUAUAGCUUGACACUGAACAUUGAGCCUUGAUGUGUAG
RNAcentral lists this ribosomal RNA (1107 nucleotides) under Salmonella enterica. RNAcentral's name for it is "partial 23S ribosomal RNA". It matches the Rfam family "Bacterial large subunit ribosomal RNA", at positions 1133 to 2141 of the family's 2925-position model. Lineage: Bacteria; Pseudomonadati; Pseudomonadota; Gammaproteobacteria; Enterobacterales; Enterobacteriaceae. The record is from RNAcentral.